Molecule: ribosomal RNA, 492 nt
Filed under: uncultured bacterium
Lineage: Bacteria
Description: partial 16S ribosomal RNA
Rfam family: Bacterial small subunit ribosomal RNA
Source: RNAcentral
AGUGAACGCUGGCGGUAGGCCUAACACAUGCAAGUCGAACGGCAGCACAGUAGGAGCUUGCUCCUACGGGUGGCGAGUGGCGGACGGGUGAGGAAUACAUCGGAAUCUACUUUUUCGUGGGGGAUAACGUAGGGAAACUUACGCUAAUACCGCAUACGACCUACGGGUGAAAGCAGGGGAUCUUCGGACCUUGCGCGAUUGAAUGAGCCGAUGUCGGAUUAGCUAGUUGGCGGGGUAAAGGCCCACCAAGGCGACGAUCCGUAGCUGGUCUGAGAGGAUGAUCAGCCACACUGGAACUGAGACACGGUCCAGACUCCUACGGGAGGCAGCAGUGGGGAAUAUUGGACAAUGGGCGCAAGCCUGAUCCAGCCAUACCGCGUGGGUGAAGAAGGCCUUCGGGUUGUAAAGCCCUUUUGUUGGGAAAGAAAAGCAGCAGGUUAAUACCCCGCUGUUCUGACGGUACCCAAAGAAUAAGCACCGGCUAACUUCGUG